Molecule: long non-coding RNA, 4476 nt
Organism: Aegilops tauschii subsp. strangulata
Lineage: Eukaryota; Viridiplantae; Streptophyta; Magnoliopsida; Poales; Poaceae
Source: RefSeq, a predicted model, not a curated record
AAUCGCAGAAUUGUGUUUUUUCGAAUUUUUUGCAAUUUUUGAUACUGUUUUCGCUUUAGUUUUUGAACCGUUUGUCGAAACGAGGCGUGUGAUAUGCCAUUGUAAAGCUACGGACGAGACGCAACUUUCAUAUGUAGAAGUGUUUUUGGAAUUCCUUACGGUUUUAAGUUAAUUUUGUAAAUCGUGCGGCGGACGACGAGUGGCAGAGGCCGUUUUCGUGAAAUUUUUAUAAACCGCUGGUCGGAAUGAUUCAAAUGAUACACCGUUGGGAAGAUAUCAACGAGACGCAACUUUUUCAUGUAGAAUACUUUCUCUAAUUCCUUACGGUUUAAGAGCAGUUUUGAAAUUACUGAAAUGCAGACACUGUUUUUCGCGACACCUAAAUCGACGAGUGAACCGCAUCGAACAGAAAACCGCACUGGUUCCGACUGAAAACCGCACUGCAUCGGACGGGCAACUGAGCUGCAUAAUUUCUUUUGUCGGGCGUAAAUUUUCUCAGACGAGUUUUUGUUGUCUUUUUUUCAACUUUUUUUAUGAACGAGAGUGGACCGCAGAGACGAGGGCAAGUGAGCCGCAACACUAUCAAAAGUGAACCGCGUUACUUUUCUUUAUCAUUUUUCUUUCACGUUGGGCGUAAGUGAACCGUGACACUAUCAAAAGUGAACCACAACAAUACCGAAAGUGACCCGCAUGAGUUUUUCUUAUCUUUUUUCAUACUUAUUUUACGCAGGCGAGUGGACCGCAGUGGCUGAGCAAGUGAACUACAUCUAAUAAGAAGUGAGCUUCUUUGAAUUGUUUUUUUUCAGUAUACCAAAUGACGGCCCAUGCAUUUAAAAAGACGGUAGUAUUCUUCCAUAACUCCAAAGAAACCAAGCUACCCAACGAACAUAAGUAGUUGUGUAGAACGCAACACCAACAUGAUUAAGUGGCAAGACCAUUGAUCUGCAAUGAAAUUGUGGAUUUCUGUCAUUAGAUUCUUGUGUUUAGAUUUUUGGUAAGAUUGAGCGAAUCGUAACAUUUCUUUUCAUACAUUUUUGAAAUUCGCCUAUAGGCAUCUGAUUGUCAUCAGUGCAUUCGGUGGGGGGAGACCUUCCCGUCAAGUAGAAAGACGUUUGUGCGAUUUCGUCAAUUUCAAAAUAAUAUGCCGGCUCAGUUUUUCGAAGGUGCUCAUAGCGGUAGGGUACUAGAGUGUGUGCGUGCUUGCGUUUAUAGGGCGAGUGUAUGUACGUAUGUAUGACCGUUUGCGUUUGUAGUGUGUUCAAAAAAUAAUAUUGUCAUCAGUGCAUUCCCACUGACUGCGUUUCGGACACAGCUUAGCAUGCAUGGCACGUGGAGUAUUUUUUACUAACCAUUGCCUACUUAUCAACUAUGGAGGCUGUUCUCUUUUCUUGUACUACAACAACAUAUAUGCAAAGGAUAAAAAGCUCAUACAUACACUGAUACAUAUAUACGCGUACACUCAUGAGUGAACACUUCUGUUCUGCACUUGCACACACACGCGCAAGCCAUCCUGUAAGUCUAGCAUUUUUUAUUACCUAUCCCCUUGCGCUCUCGCACAUCGCUCACACUAGCGCGCGGCUACUCAUCUCUAGCUACCAUCUCAGCUCCACUACCGCAUCACCUCUGCUCCACCACCACCACCACCACGCUGCCCACUCGACGGCAAUGGCUGCUACUCAGUGAUGGCCCCCACCGGCCGGCUAUGCCGGAAGACAACGCGUCCUGCCUCCUCUGUGCCAAGGACGCCUUCUUCUUCGUCGACACCACCGCCAGCACCUGCACCACCGCCGAGCAGGACGGUGGCUGGUACUCCGGCGCCGAGGAGGAGUCGGCGUCGUCUUCGGCGGCGGCCUUCGUUGCCGAGCUCAUCGGCGGCGAGGCCGACUACUCGCCCCUGUCCGACUACUCCGACCGGCUCCGUCGACCACGCUGCUCGGGCCGCCUCCAUUGUAUGGAUUCUCAAGGUGACAUGCACAAAUCGCUGGAUAGCUCGACGAGCUUCUCUGAUUGGAAUAUGGAUGGUGCAUGUUUGUGUGUGUAGUUUUCUGCCAUCUGUAUCACAUCCCAUAUUGUUAUGUUUUCAGGUGCAAGAGUACUACAGAUUCCUUCCCCUGAUGGCCUACCUCGCCGUGAACUACAUGGACCGAGCUUCUCUGCAUUUAAAAAACUGGAUGCGCCUGCAAUCCGUACUGCAGGAUGCCACAAGGGAACCACAAACAAGGUGAAAUUAAAACAUACAGCAAAGAUGAACUACUAAAAAAUAAGUAUGUCGCCGGCCACCCUAGUGCAGUGCACUUGUCUCCCGCCGCGCGCGACUGUGUAGAAGAAAGCUGCAGGUGAGGGCCGUAAACUGCACACUAGGUCGAGCUGCACUGCACGCCACACUCAACAGCACUGCACGAUGUGCUCGCUGGAAAGGGGCGCCACACUGGCCGCUCUUCAACUUGACGACCUCGUUUGUGGACUGCACGGGUGCGGUCGCCGGGCUGCAGGGAAGGGGCGCCCGCACCCUCACGCUGUUCCGAGAUGCUGUGCAUGAAGUGAGCUGCAGUUUGAAGAAAAAAACCACCCGUACGGACGAAGUGAGCUGCAUCGACGACGGGACAUCAACAUUCGCCACCGGAGGACGUCGGAGGAGCCCUGGAGCCAUCCCUUGCCCGCACACUGAAGAUUUUCAAUAGCAAAAACAAAACAAAAGUGAACCGCAAGACUCGUGCGGCCAGGACCAGUCCGGUGGCGGAGGGGCAGGGUGGCCAGAACCGGCGCGUGCCUAACGGAUCUGGGCAGGGGCGGAGCACCGGUAGCUCCAACACCGAUUGUGGACAGACAAGGGGCGGUGGCCAAUCCUUGAAGGCUGAUGCUCGUCGGGAAGGAAGGAGCUCACACUUGCACGCGAAUUACACGGCCGUGGGACCCCUACUGCACGCAUGCAGUCCAUCACGAGGGCCGCAGAAGGGGAUAGGAGGUGAUGACAGGCGCAACGCGACGGUACUGGAAGAGGUGUGCGGCGCGGGCGCGGAAGUCUAGGAAGAAUCUCAGCGGGAGUUGGGGUGAUACGCAGCUGUAUGGGAGAUUGGGAGGGAGGAGGUGGAGGAACGGGGAGGGGUUGGUCGCGGCGACCCUCGAGCUCACCGGACCCCUCCAAUCCUUGAAGCCGGCUGCCCCUGACGCGCCCCGGGACGGCUACGAGCGGAUCUGACGUCAGACAGCCGCGGGAGGACGGCGACGAGGCGGAUCCGGCGGCUGGCCGAUGCGGGGGUAGGUGGGCCGAGGAGGAAGGUGGUUGGAGAGGGUGUGGCGGCGCGGGGAGGGGGUGGUGCCGCGGCACGGUAAGAGAGGUGGUGCAGUGUGGCACCGGGAAGGAGAUGGUGCGGCGCUGGGGUGGUUGGGGUAUGGGAUGGCGGGGGUGGGAUCGGGGGAAGAAGGUGGAAGGGGAUCGGGGGAGUGACGCGGGGAAGAAGGUGGACAGGGAUUGAGGUGUGACGCGGGGAAGAAGGUGAGGUGGGUCGAGGGAUUAGUCUUAGCAGAAUAAGGCGAGGUGUUCGCAGAAUAAGACUUUUAAGGGUGUGUUAGCAGAAUAGACCCACCUAGUGGUAGUUACCGCCUAGGAAUCCACCGUUGAUCUCAUGUGCCUAGAUGGGUUGCCUACAGAAACCUAACGGGCUAGAUGAGGUUCCACCUGACCCGUUUAGAUUAUCCCAUUGUACGUGAGCUUAUCCCUUAUUUUGAAUCCAUCGUAAGUCAUCCUUAUCCUACUACUAACAAACCUAGCUGGUCUCACUAUGUGAAAAUAGCUUUUAUCUGUACCUUCUAGUUACCAAUAACAAACAGGCUGAUCUCUCUUUUCUCUAUCUGAUUGUUCAAUAUCUCCGGAGCUUCUUUUGUCACCGGUUGGCGACGGCUGGCGUCGUCCCUAGUAGUUUUCUGCCACCGGCGAGACAGCAAAAUAACGGCUGACCAGCGUUGGCCCAUUCUGCUUUGUGAACAGAUAAGCGCACCUGCAGGAGAUCGGUUGAAAAAUUAAGCGAGAUCCACCUGCUACAACACCAGAGAGCCCAGCAGCAACUUGUGAGUGACUCCCUUGGCAACAACGACGCACCGUGCGAACGCCCAAUUGGUGAAUGAGUGGUGUGCCCCCGGUGAACUAUAUUGCAUAUGGAUGUGCAGCGACUAAGACACGGUACGACGGUACACAAGGACCAUGCACGUAGAUCAGUGGAGGCAACUAGAGGCAACGACGACGACCACGAAGCUGCAACCUGUAACCGAAUUCCCACAAUAGACAGAAAUCUCAUGAGAACACGGUCAUAUGCAUGGAUGGCAAACCGCAUGAUGCAUGGAUAACAACACGUGCAUGUAUACGUACAAGACUUUGUCAUCUCAUAUUUCCAUACUAGAAGUAUAGUUAAAUAUACUCCGGUGUAUACUCUCACUACACUGUUUGUACUGAAGCAUGUACAUGUUUAUUGUCCCAUU